AGUGAACGCUGGCGGUAGGCCUAACACAUGCAAGUCGAACGGCAGCACAGUAAGAGCUUGCUCUUACGGGUGGCGAGUGGCGGACGGGUGAGGAAUACAUCGGAAUCUACUUUUUUCGUGGGGGAUAACGUAGGGAAACUUACGCUAAUACCGCAUACGACCUACGGGUGAAAGCAGGGGAUCUUCGGACCUUGCGCGAUUGAAUGAGCCGAUGUCGGAUUAGCUAGUUGGCGGGGUAAAGGCCCACCAAGGCGACGAUCCGUAGCUGGUCUGAGAGGAUGAUCAGCCACACUGGAACUGAGACACGGUCCAGACUCCUACGGGAGGCAGCAGUGGGGAAUAUUGGACAAUGAGCGCAAGCCUGAUCCAGCCAUACCGCGUGGGUGAAGAAGGCCUUCGGGUUGUAAAGCCCUUUUGUUGGGAAAGAAAAGCAGCAGGUUAAUACCCCGCUGUUCUGACGGUACCCAAAGAAUAAGCACCGGCUAACUUCGUG
This 493-nucleotide ribosomal RNA is filed under the name uncultured bacterium. RNAcentral's name for it is "partial 16S ribosomal RNA". It matches the Rfam family "Bacterial small subunit ribosomal RNA", at positions 29 to 507 of the family's 1533-position model. The record is from RNAcentral.